UACAGAGGUCUCAAGCGUUGUUCGGAUUCACUGGGCGUAAAGGGUGCGCAGGCGGCCGUGUGUGUGAGGCGUGAAAGCCCGGGGCUUAACCCCGGAAUUGCACCUCAAACUACAUGGCUAGAGCAUUGGAGAGGGUAGCAGAAUUCAUGGUGUAGCAGUGAAAUGCGUAGAUAUCAUGAGGAAUACCAGAGGCGAAGGCGGCUACCUGGACAAUUGCUGACGCUCAGGCACGAAAGCGUGGGGAGCAAAAGGG
This 253-nucleotide ribosomal RNA is filed under the name uncultured bacterium. Its description in RNAcentral is "partial 16S ribosomal RNA". It matches the Rfam family "Bacterial small subunit ribosomal RNA", at positions 524 to 776 of the family's 1533-position model. The record is from RNAcentral.